CCUCUGACCCCAUGACCCCCCGUUGCCCCCCCAGCCGUGCCGGCGCUGCCGUGCGCCGCCGUGUCACCGCGCGACUGCCACGACGUGCACGCGGGGGGGGCGCAGAGCGACGGCGUCUACCUGGUGUAUCCCAUGGGGCCCGGCCUCCCGGUGCCCGUCUACUGCGACAUGAGCACGGACGGACACGUCUGGACGGUGUUCCAGAAGCGUUUCAACGGCUCCGUCAGUUUCUUCCGGGGUUGGAACGAUUAUCGCUACGGCUUCGGGCGCGCCGACGGCGAGUAUUGGCUGGGUGAGGUCACGUGACACCCCUGGGAGCCCACCCGCACCCAUCGGCACCCAUGGGCACCCAUAGAACCCAUCGGCACCCAUUGGAUCCCAUUGGAUCCCAUAGAACCCAUGGGAAUCCAUCAGCACCCAUUGGAUUCCAUUGGAUCCCAUUGGCACCCAUAGAACCCAUGGGCACCCAUGGGAACCCAUCGGCACCCAUUGGAUCCCAUUGGCACCCAUAGAACCCAUUGGAUCCCAUUGGCACCCAUCGGCACCCAUAGAACCCAUAGAACCCAUCGGCACCCAUUGGAUCCCAUUGGAUCCCAUUGGCACCCAUAGAACCCAUGGGAACCCAUUGGCACCCAUCAGCACCCAUAGAACCCGUCAGCACCCAUUGGAUCGCAUUGGCACCCAUAGAACCCAUGGGAACCCAUCAGCACCCAUCGGAUCCCAUUCGCACCCAUGGGAACCCAUCAGCACCCAUCGGAUCCCAUUGGCACCCAUGGGAACCCAUCAGCACCCAUAGAACCCAUAGAACUCGUACUGUGACCCCAGAGUGACCCCAGAGUGACCCCAUAGUGACCCCAUAGUGACCCCUAUUGUGUCCCCACGAUGUCNNNNNNNNNNNNNNNNNNNNNNNNNNNNNNNNNNNNNNNNNNNNNNNNNNNNCCCAUCGGAUCCCAUUGGCACCCAUGGGAACCCAUCAGCACCCAUUGGAUCCAAUGGCACCCAUAGAACCCAUAGAACUCGUACUGUGACCCCAGAGUGACCCCAAAGUGACCCCAGAGUGACCCCAUAGUGACCCCAUAGUGACCCAUAGUGACCCCUAUUGUGUCCCCACGAUGUCCCCAUGCUGUGACCCCAUAGUGACCCCAUAGUGACCCAUAGUGACCCCAUAGUGACCCCAUAGUGUCCCAUAGUGACCCCUAUUGUGU
RNAcentral lists this long non-coding RNA (1205 nucleotides) under Phasianus colchicus (ring-necked pheasant). RNAcentral's name for it is "lncRNA (ENSPCLG00000017206.1)". The record is from RNAcentral. Lineage: Eukaryota; Metazoa; Chordata; Aves; Galliformes; Phasianidae.